This 491-nucleotide ribosomal RNA is filed under the name uncultured bacterium. RNAcentral describes it as "partial 16S ribosomal RNA". It matches the Rfam family "Bacterial small subunit ribosomal RNA", at positions 29 to 507 of the family's 1533-position model. The record is from RNAcentral.
AGUGAACGCUGGCGGUAGGCCUAACACAUGCAAGUCGAACGGCAGCACAGUAAGAGCUUGCUCUUACGGGUGGCGAGUGGCGGACGGGUGAGGAAUACAUCGGAAUCUACUUUUUCGUGGGGGAUAACGUAGGGAAACUUACGCUAAUACCGCAUACGACCUACGGGUGAAAGCAGGGGAUCUUCGGACCUUGCGCGAUUGAAUGAGCCGAUGUCGGAUUAGCUAGUUGGCGGGGUAAAGGCCCACCAAGGCGACGAUCCGUAGCUGGUCUGAGAGGAUGAUCAGCCACACGGGAACUGAGAAACGGUCAAGCCCCCUAGGGGAGGCAGCAGUGGGGAAUAUUGGACAAUGGGCGAAAGCCUGACCCAGCCAUACCGCGUGGGUGAAGAAGGCCUUCGGGUUGUAAAGCCCUUUUGUUGGGAAAGAAAAGCAGCAGGUUAAUACCCCGCUGUUCUGACGGUACCCAAAGAAUAGCACCGGCUAACUUCGUG